UACGGGGGAUCCAAUCGUUAUCCGGAAUCAUGGGUUUUAAAGGGUCCGUAGGCGGGUUAAUAAGUCAGUGGUGAAAGUCUUCAGCUCAACUGUAGAAUUGACAUUGAUACUGUUAACCUUGAGUAAUUAUGAAGUGGUUAGAAUAUGUAGUGUAGCGGUGAAAUGCAUAGAUAUUACAUAGAAUACCGAUUGCGAAGGCAGAUCACUAAUAAUUUACUGACGCUGAUGGACGAAAGCGUAGGUAGCGAACAGG
This 253-nucleotide unclassified non-coding RNA is filed under the name uncultured Flavobacteriaceae bacterium. RNAcentral describes it as "contains 16S-23S intergenic spacer region". It matches the Rfam family "Bacterial small subunit ribosomal RNA", at positions 524 to 776 of the family's 1533-position model. The record is from RNAcentral. Lineage: Bacteria; Pseudomonadati; Bacteroidota; Flavobacteriia; Flavobacteriales; Flavobacteriaceae.